This 381-nucleotide ribosomal RNA is filed under the name uncultured eukaryote. RNAcentral describes it as "SSU rRNA". It matches the Rfam family "Eukaryotic small subunit ribosomal RNA", at positions 587 to 972 of the family's 1831-position model. The record is from RNAcentral.
AGCUCCAAUAGCGUAUAUUAAAGUUGUUGCAGUUAAAAAGCUCGUAGUUGGAUUUGUGGUGUACGAAGGCGGCCCGUCACAUUGUGGCGGUGCUUGCCUUUGUCGCCAUCCUUGGGUGGAUCCUGUGUGGCAUUAAGUUGUCGUGCAGGGGAUGCCCAUCGUUUACUGUGAAAAAAUUAGAGUGUUCAAAGCAGGCUUAUGCCGUUGAAUAUGUUAGCAUGGAAUAAUAAGAUAGGACCUUGGUACUAUUUUGUUGGUUUGCGCACCAAGGUAAUGAUUAAUAGGGACAGUUGGGGGUAUUCGUAUUUCAUUGUCAGAGGUGAAAUUCUUGGAUUUUUGAAAGACGAACUACUGCGAAAGCAUUUACCAAGGAUGUUUUCA